GCCAGUAUGCAUUUCCUCUUUAAGCUUCGUCCUAAAACUAAUCUCUUAAGAAAAAGUGGUGCAACACAAAUCUAUGUUGGUGCGAUAAGAUCUGAUACAUCCUGCAUUAUGCUUAUUCUUGUCCAAAAAAGAAAAAUGAUUACUCCAUGUGAUUAACUUGAUAAAAUAAUCCUACCAGUCAGUCAAGACUCUCGCAAGACUUUCCCAACAUACAUCGACUUCUUUCAUCCCUCCCUCCCAUAAUACUAAUUGUAGACUU
This 259-nucleotide long non-coding RNA is filed under the name Elaeis guineensis (African oil palm). RNAcentral describes it as "long non-coding RNA (EGUI_LNC016725)". The record is from RNAcentral. Lineage: Eukaryota; Viridiplantae; Streptophyta; Magnoliopsida; Arecales; Arecaceae.